UGGGGAAUUUUGGACAAUGGGCGCAAGCCUGAUCCAGCCAUUCCGCGUGCAGGACGAAGGCCUUCGGGUUGUAAGCUGCUUUUGUACGGAACGAAAAGGCUCUGGCUAAUACCUGGGGCUCAUGACGGUACCGUAAGAAUAAGCACCGGCUAACUACGUGCCAGCAGCCGCGGUAAUACGUAGGGUGCAAGCGUUAAUCGGAAUUACUGGGCGUAAAGCGUGCGCAGGCGGUUAUGUAAGACAGAGGUGAAAUCCCCGGGCUCAACCUGGGAACUGCCUUUGUGACUGCAUAGCUGGAGUACGGCAGAGGGGGAUGGAAUUCCGCGUGUAGCAGUGAAAUGCGUAGAUAUGCGGAGGAACACCGAUGGCGAAGGCAAUCCCCUGGGCCUGUACUGACGCUCAUGCACGAAAACGUGGGGAGCAAACAG
Molecule: ribosomal RNA, 428 nt
Filed under: uncultured bacterium
Lineage: Bacteria
Description: bacterial SSU rRNA
Rfam family: Bacterial small subunit ribosomal RNA
Source: RNAcentral